RNAcentral lists this ribosomal RNA (253 nucleotides) under uncultured bacterium. Its description in RNAcentral is "partial 16S ribosomal RNA". It matches the Rfam family "Bacterial small subunit ribosomal RNA", at positions 524 to 776 of the family's 1533-position model. The record is from RNAcentral.
UACGUAGGGUGCGAGCGUUGUCCGGAAUUAUUGGGCGUAAAGAGCUCGUAGGCGGCGUGUCGCGUCGGAUGUGAAAGCCCGGGGCUUAACUCCGGGUCUGCAUUCGAUACGGGCAUGCUUGAGUGUGGUAGGGGAGAUCGGAAUUCCUGGUGUAGCGGUGAAAUGCGCAGAUAUCAGGAGGAACACCGGUGGCGAAGGCGGCAUCCUGGACCGGCAUUGACGCUGAUGAGCGAAAGCCAGGGGAGCAAACGGG